GGGAAUUUUCCGCAAUGGGCGAAGGCCUGACGGAGCAAUGCCGCGUGGAGGUGGAAGGCCUACGGGUCGUCAACUUCUUUUCUCGGAGAAGAAACAAUGACGGUAUCUGAGGAAUAAGCAUCGGCUAACCCUGUGACAG
This 139-nucleotide ribosomal RNA is filed under the name uncultured bacterium. RNAcentral describes it as "partial 16S rRNA". It matches the Rfam family "Bacterial small subunit ribosomal RNA", at positions 357 to 511 of the family's 1533-position model. The record is from RNAcentral.